RNAcentral lists this long non-coding RNA (615 nucleotides) under Oryza sativa aus subgroup. RNAcentral describes it as "lncRNA OsNaBo_09g0005590". The record is from RNAcentral. Lineage: Eukaryota; Viridiplantae; Streptophyta; Magnoliopsida; Poales; Poaceae.
ACCGGCACCUAUUCACUUAAAACUGUUAUCCAUUCCCUCUCUCCCCCUUAUCCGUUCACUCUCCCUCUCUCUCUCUCGGCGCGGCGGCAGCGGCGCGUCCCCCUCGCAGCCUCCCCCCCUCUCCUCCUCCUCCUCCUCGUGGCGCCCUCCAAGUCGUCGUCGGCUGUGGCGGCGGCGGCGGCCAAGGUGCGGGAGGAGGGAGAGGUCUCCUCCUGCGCCGACGACGACGAUGUGAGGAGGGCUCCCGACGGCGACGACGACGACGACGGUGACGAGGUGAGGAGGGAGAGGUCUCAUCCGGCAGCAGCAGCAGUGAGGAGGGCUCGAUGGCGUCCAGCGGCGAGGAGGUGUGCAGCGGUGGCGGCGAGGAGGAGGCGAGCGGCGGCGGCAGAUCCAUCCCACGAGAGCGGGCGCGUGUUCGCCGCGGGCCUCAACGGCUUUGGGCAGCUCGGGAUAGGCUCCUCCGUGACUCAUCCGCUGCCUACUUUUGCACAGGAGGCAAAAGCUGGCUGGACAUAUAUCAGAAUUGCAAUUUUCACUCCUGUAAAGUUUCUUUUGUGUGCAAAUCAUUUUCCAGUGCAACUGCAGGUUCCAAUUUUUGUAGGUGUCAUGUAG